AAGCAUAUUAAUAAGCGGAGGAAAAGAAACUAACAAGGAUUCCCUGAGUAACGGCGAGCGAAAAGGGAAUAGCCCAGCGCCGAAUCUCUUGUCCUCCGGGCAAGAAGACAUGUGGCGUUUGGGACGAGGCUUUGCCUGUGCAGAAUGGUCAUCCAAGUCCCUCUUGAACGGGGCCAUAGCCCAUGGAGGGUGCUAGGCCCGUAUGAUGACUUUAUUGUGCAGUGCGUCUUGUCCGUAGAGUCGGGUUGCUUGGGAGUGCAGCCCAAAUCAGGUGGUAAACUCCAUCUAAGGCUAAAUAUGACCACGAGACCGAUAGCGAACAAGUACCGUGAGGGAAAGUUGAAAAGAACUUUGAAGAGAGAGUUAAAAAGUACGUGAAACCUCUCGGGGGUAAGCGGGCAGAACUUGCAAGUAUUGGCUGGGAACAUUCAGGCUUAGUGUUGGUGGCUUGUGGUGCACGUUUUGUUGCUCUUUCGGGAGUUGACUGCCGUGUGCUGCUUGUUCUACUGACGAUGCGCCGCAUUUGUUCCUGUCAUCGGGUUGCAUGCGACUUGACUGGGAGGUUAGGGGCUGGGGGUUUGCAAAUCCUUGUGGUUUGAACCCUGGUUUCCAACUGGUGUCGGGGUCGGUGAAAUUACGAGUAGGGGCUUGUUGCGGUCCAAAGAUUUCGCGAAUUGGGGGGUUUAGAUAAGGGGGAGGGUAACCGUAGCAAGUUGUCUGGAACUGCUGUCAGUGAAAUUUUGUAUUUGGCAGUGCUCUGAUUGCAAUCUAAAGCAUGCGUGGUCUGCCUGUCCCGUCUUGAAACACGGAA
RNAcentral lists this ribosomal RNA (811 nucleotides) under Homidia tiantaiensis. RNAcentral describes it as "eukaryotic LSU rRNA". It matches the Rfam family "Eukaryotic large subunit ribosomal RNA", at positions 36 to 664 of the family's 3401-position model. The record is from RNAcentral. Lineage: Eukaryota; Metazoa; Arthropoda; Collembola; Entomobryomorpha; Entomobryidae.